Molecule: ribosomal RNA, 481 nt
Filed under: uncultured bacterium
Lineage: Bacteria
Description: partial 16S ribosomal RNA
Rfam family: Bacterial small subunit ribosomal RNA
Source: RNAcentral
GAUGAACGCUAGCGGCAGGCCUAAUACAUGCAAGUCGGACGGGAUUCAGGAGCUUGCUUCUGAUGAGAGUGGCGCACGGGUGCGUAACACGUAUGUAACCUACCUUUAUCAGGGGGAUAGCCUCUCGAAAGAGAGAUUAAGCCCGCAUAAAAUCACAGCACAGCAUUGUGUAAUGAUCAAAUAUUUAUAGGAUAAAGAUGGGCAUGCGGAACAUUAGCUAGAUGGCGGGGUAACGGCCCACCAUGGCGACGAUGUUUAGGGGAUCUGAGAGGAUGGCCCCCCACACUGGUACUGAGACACGGACCAGACUCCUACGGGAGGCAGCAGUAAGGAAUAUUGGUCAAUGGGCGGAAGCCUGAACCAGCCAUGCCGCGUGCAGGAAGACGGCCCUACGGGUUGUAAACUGCUUUUAUACGGGAAUAAACCCAGAUACGUGUAUCUGGCUGAAUGUACUGUAAGAAUAGGAUCGGCUAACUCCGUG